UACGGAGGGUGCAAGCGUUGUCCGGAUUUAUUGGGUUUAAAGGGUGCGUAGGCGGCCCUGUAAGUCAGUGGUGAAAGCCUCCAGCUCAACUGGAGAACUGCCAUUGAUACUGCAGGGCUUGAGUACAGACGAGGUUGGCGGAAUUGAUUGUGUAGCGGUGAAAUGCAUAGAUACAAUCAAGAACUCCGAUUGCGUAGGCAGCUAACUAGGCUGUAACUGACGCUGAGGCACGAAAGCGUGGGGAGCGAAC
Molecule: ribosomal RNA, 250 nt
Filed under: uncultured bacterium
Lineage: Bacteria
Description: partial 16S ribosomal RNA
Rfam family: Bacterial small subunit ribosomal RNA
Source: RNAcentral